Molecule: non-coding RNA, 22 nt
Filed under: Arabidopsis thaliana (thale cress)
Lineage: Eukaryota; Viridiplantae; Streptophyta; Magnoliopsida; Brassicales; Brassicaceae
Source: RNAcentral
GGUUUAUAGAAUCUCGAGCAGA